AUGGACGAGUUCUGGUUCUCUGGAUUGGUCUUGAUAAAGCUUUCAUACAGGAUACAACUUAAGCUGGAGUUCAUCGCUAAGCAGAUACUAGGAAACGUAGCUAUCAAUUAUCUUGUAUACAAAAGGUUUGGGACUGGAUCUUCUAAUGAAAGCUGGAGCAGAAGAAGAAGUCCAGGAGGGAGAGAUGGAGAUGUGAGCAUGUAUACAUAUGUUCUGGAGACACUAGACUUAUCUGGUGGUGUGUGCGUGCUGUUGUAUCCUCUUCCGGCCACUCUAAUCUACACCCUCAGUACAAGCCGAUGCAACGCCAAGCAGAUCGACAGGGGUGCGGGGUUCAGUUGGACGAUGACGAGCCAGGCAGCCGGCCUUUGCAUCAUGAACUGGCGCAGUUUGAUCUUAUCAUCUUACAUGUCAAGCACCAAACCGACACCGCGGCUUCUGCUGCUGGUGCUAGUGUGGAUGUUUAGCAAGUUCAACUACCAGUCUACGCCGAGUUCAGCAAUGUAG
This 507-nucleotide ribosomal RNA is filed under the name Triticum aestivum (bread wheat). RNAcentral's name for it is "partial small subunit ribosomal RNA". The record is from RNAcentral. Lineage: Eukaryota; Viridiplantae; Streptophyta; Magnoliopsida; Poales; Poaceae.